RNAcentral lists this ribosomal RNA (279 nucleotides) under uncultured bacterium. Its description in RNAcentral is "partial 16S ribosomal RNA". It matches the Rfam family "Bacterial small subunit ribosomal RNA", at positions 506 to 784 of the family's 1533-position model. The record is from RNAcentral.
UGCCAGCAGCCGCGGUAAUACGGAGGGUGCAAGCGUUGUUCGGAAUUAUUGGGCGUAAAGAGCAUGUAGGCGGACUGUUAAGUCUGAUGUGAAAGCCCGGGGCUCAACCCCGGAAGUGCAUUGGAUACUGCAUGGCUAGAGUAUGGUAGAGGGAAGUGGAAUUCCGAGUGUAGGAGUGAAAUCCGUAGAUAUUCGGAGGAACACCAGUGGCGAAGGCGGCUUUCUGGACCAAUACUGACGCUGAGAUGCGAAAGCGUGGGGAGCGAACAGGAUUAGAUA